UGGGGAAUUUUGGACAAUGGGCGCAAGCCUGAUCCAGCCAUGCCGCGUGCGGGAAGAAGGCCUUCGGGUUGUAAACCGCUUUUGUCAGGGACGAAAAGCUUCAAGCUAAUAUCUUGAGGUUAUGACGGUACCUGAAGAAUAAGCACCGGCUAACUACGUGCCAGCAGCCGCGGUAAUACGUAGGGUGCGAGCGUUAAUCGGAAUUACUGGGCGUAAAGCGUGCGCAGGCGGUCAUGCAAGACAGAUGUGAAAUCCCCGGGCUUAACCUGGGAACUGCAUUUGUGACUGGAUGGCUAGAGUGCGGCAGAGGGGGAUGGAAUUCCGCGUGUAGCAGUGAAAUGCGUAGAUAUGCGGAGGAACACCGAUGGCGAAGGCAAUCCCCUGGGCCUGCACUGACGCUCAUGCACGAAAGCGUGGGGAGCAAACAG
This 428-nucleotide ribosomal RNA is filed under the name uncultured bacterium. RNAcentral's name for it is "bacterial SSU rRNA". It matches the Rfam family "Bacterial small subunit ribosomal RNA", at positions 355 to 775 of the family's 1533-position model. The record is from RNAcentral.